ACUGUGCUGAUGCGGAGGGAUCAUUACCGAGUUUACAACUCCCAAACCCCUGUGAACAUACCACUUGUUGCCUCGGCGGAUCAGCCCGCUCCCGGUAAAACGGGACGGCCCGCCAGAGGACCCCUAAACUCUGUUUCUAUAUGUAACUUCUGAGUAAAACCAUAAAUAAAUCAAAACUUUCAACAACGGAUCUCUUGGUUCUGGCAUCGAUGAAGAACGCAGCAAAAUGCGAUAAGUAAUGUGAAUUGCAGAAUUCAGUGAAUCAUCGAAUCUUUGAACGCACAUUGCGCCUGCCAGUAUUCUGGCGGGCAUGCCUGUUCGAGCGUCAUUUCAACCCUCAAGCACAGCUUGGUGUUGGGACUCGCGUUAAUUCGCGUUCCCCAAAUUGAUUGGCGGUCACGUCGAGCUUCCAUAGCGUAGUAGUAAAACCCUCGUUACUGGUAAUCGUCGCGGCCACGCCGUUAAACCCCAACUUCUGAAUGUUGACCUCGGAUCAGGUAGGAAUACCCGCUGAACUUAUGCAUAUCAAUAAGCGGAGGAA
Molecule: ribosomal RNA, 541 nt
Filed under: Fusarium oxysporum f. sp. lycopersici
Lineage: Eukaryota; Fungi; Ascomycota; Sordariomycetes; Hypocreales; Nectriaceae
Description: eukaryotic LSU rRNA
Rfam family: 5.8S ribosomal RNA (bases 175-328)
Source: RNAcentral